RNAcentral lists this ribosomal RNA (449 nucleotides) under uncultured bacterium. RNAcentral's name for it is "bacterial SSU rRNA". It matches the Rfam family "Bacterial small subunit ribosomal RNA", at positions 329 to 793 of the family's 1533-position model. The record is from RNAcentral.
UGCCAGACUCCUACGGGAGGCAGCAGUGGGGAAUAUUGGGCAAUGGGCGCAAGCCUUACCCAGCAAUACCGCGUGAGUGAAGAAGGUCUUCGGAUUGUAAAGCUCUUUGAUCAGGGACGAACAGAUGACGGUACCUGAAGAACAAGCCCCGGCUAACUACGUGCCAGCAGCCGCGGUAAUACGUAGGGGGCGAGCGUUAUCCGGAUUCACUGGGUGUAAAGGGAGCGUAGACGGCCAUGCAAGCCAGGGGUGAAAGCCCGGGGCCCAACCCCGGGACUGCCCUUGGAACUGCAUGGCUGGAGUGCGGGAGGGGCAGGCGGAAUUCCUGGUGUAGCGGUGAAAUGCGUAGAUAUCGGGAGGAACACCGGUGGCGAAGGCGGCCUGCUGGACUGCGACUGACGUUGAGGCCCGAAAGCGUGGGGAGCAAACAGGAUUAGAUACCCUCGUAU